GACGAACGCUGGCGGCGUGCUUAACACAUGCAAGUCGAACGGAAAGGCCCUGCUUUUGUGGGGUGCUCGAGUGGCGAACGGGUGAGUAACACGUGAGUAACCUGCCCUUGACUUUGGGAUAACUUCAGGAAACUGGGGCUAAUACCGGAUAGGAGCUCCUGCUGCAUGGUGGGGGUUGGAAAGUUUCGGCGGUUGGGGAUGGACUCGCGACUUAUCAGCUUGUUGGUGGGGUAGUGGCUUACCAAGGCUUUGACGGGUAGCCGGCCUGAGAGGGUGACCGGCCACAUUGGGACUGAGAUACGGCCCAGACUCCUACGGGAGGCAGCAGUGGGGAAUAUUGCGCAAUGGGCGGAAGCCUGAUGCAGCAACGCCGCGUGCGGGAUGACGGCCUUCGGGUUGUAAACCGCUUUCGCCUGUGACGAAGCGUGAGUGACGGUAAUGGGUAAAGAAGCACCGGCUAACUACGUG
RNAcentral lists this ribosomal RNA (468 nucleotides) under uncultured bacterium. Its description in RNAcentral is "partial 16S ribosomal RNA". It matches the Rfam family "Bacterial small subunit ribosomal RNA", at positions 28 to 507 of the family's 1533-position model. The record is from RNAcentral.